This is a long non-coding RNA of Hydra vulgaris (swiftwater hydra), 666 nucleotides long. RefSeq lists it as uncharacterized. The record is from RefSeq and is a predicted model, not a curated record. NCBI's taxonomy places the organism in Eukaryota, Metazoa, Cnidaria, Hydrozoa, Anthoathecata, Hydridae.
GUUGCUUUUGUCUCUAUGUUGUCCAAGGGUUAUGUCGGCCAUGAUCCUAAUAUUAUCAUGGGUUUAGCAGAGUUGUUUAACUUGCAAACUGGAUUGAAGAUUUUGAAUAAAUUUUUGUGUUCUUAAUAUGGUCACAAGUUUGUACUUGUUUAAAACCCUCAAUCAUUUGAAAAUUAUGGCGCCGACAUGGUAGAUGUCCUAGAAAAAACUGGUAGUAACUCAAUGUAGAUACACAUAGUCGAUGGAGUUACUUGCUAAUAACUGGCAAUUAGACAUAUUUGCUUCAAAUGAUGCCUUUAAAGUUUGAAAAGAUUUUUUCUAAUUCAAAUGUCGACUUUUUGUUACAUGAAAAAAGAUACUUAUUUCAACCCCUCGACUAUAUUGAUACACUUAGUAUGUGGAGUUACUUGUCAAUAGCUGGCGGUAAAACUUUUAAACGUAACGUCUUUAAGGGCUGAGAAGGUAAAAAUUAGAAGUCUGCAGACUGCAACGUAAAUCGAUUUUAACACGUUAUGGCUUCUCGAAUAUAUUUAGUUUCCGAUUGAGAAUAAACUGAACUUAUAUAUAAAGUGUUUACAAUUAACUUUUUAAACUAGAAAUACUCCAAAGGAGGUUCUCCAAACGCAAGUUAAGCAAAGUCGAUAGACGUUUAUAUCUUUUAUAUUA